Molecule: long non-coding RNA, 1229 nt
Organism: Oreochromis aureus
Lineage: Eukaryota; Metazoa; Chordata; Actinopteri; Cichliformes; Cichlidae
Source: Ensembl
CCGGCUGGCACUUAAAUCAUUUCAGACAGUUUCUUACGUCACGGUUUCCAGCUGUAUGAGUGGGUCCCUACAACCCGGAUAUACACACCGCUGCUCGUCUUUAAGAGACGUCAACAGGUCUGCAAAUUCUCCAGGAAUAUCAACAAAAACACAGCUUUUCUCGGCCCACGGCGGGUCCACAAAUUUUCACUGACCACGGCGGGUCCACAAAUUUUCACUGACCACGGCGGGUCCACAAAUGCAUAGGUGUAUAACGAUGAAGAUGAAUGUACAGUGAACUAUGAAAACACUGGAGACUCUUCUGCUUCUGUCAGACUCCACUGAUCAAGAUCUUCAACAUCAACUGAUCACAGAAAUGAAUCCACUGAUGUUUAAAACAUUUACAUUUUGAUUUUAUCUCAUAUUUAGAAUCCAAAACCUUUUUCAUGUGCAGUUAUUUAGCUAGUUAAAAAUAACUCAAACUCUGUGUCUGAAACAGUUUGUCCAGUUAGUUACGUAAAGAAAAGACUUUCAGACUGAGAAUGUUGCAGUCAGAAGGUUGACUGAGAAGUCGAGUUGACAAAGGAAACUGCUUCAGCCAUGAAAGGGGGAGGCCAGCAUAAUCAGAAUAACAGCUUCUUCUUUGGUGUUUACAUUUAUUUUUUAUAUAUUUGAUUGUUACACUUUAUCUUUAUUUGUGACACAGUAACCAACGUUAUAUUCAAUGUUAUAACUUUUAUGUUAUCUAUAACUUUUGUCACAACCUGGCUCAAAGGAUGUGGCAAGUAGGUGGGAGACCACACAGGCUUUUAAAGGCUGUAAGAUAUUUUAAUUAAAUAAAGUAAAGAAACUCAAACACAGAUUAAAUGGUACAACAUCCAUAACCAAACCUAACCAAGGGAGCAUAAUGAGCCACAGACGGAGGAGGCCAGAGGUUCAGUCAAAGUGACUUUAUAAUGCGCAUGGAUGGCCCUCUCAGGUUUGCUGCAUCUAUAAUUGGGUCAGCUCCACCUACCAGAUACCUGAAAGGCAACAAGACAACAAGGCCAGCCCACUGGGUGUCACACACUUUUUUUGGCUGCAUGACAUAAAGAUUGAUUAUAUUGUUUGUUUUCUUGCUCUGUUUCUCUCUGAAUCCUCACACACCUGAACCGUAAUAGACUAGAAGCUACUCUUAAUUAUUCUCUUCAGUUUGACUUGCUGUACUUUCAUCUUCAGUAUUAAACCUUUACUCUUAAGCAGCUCCGUUU